UUGCUUGAUUUUUCUACGGAAAAGCCCUAUAUUGAUGGUGCUGGUUUUCCAGCUAUGGCGAUAAACGUUUCGCAUAAUAAUCCCAUCGGACCCGGGGGCAGUACCCGGCGCCUCCACCAUCACCGACUACCGAAUAUGGGGGCGAAAUAGGAUCGACGAGGGCCUAAAGGCGAUGCUUUCGCUCGGCAUGGUACCACCGCAUCGGGCCAAACCUAUAGUUGCCAAUGACAACUAUGCGGAACUUCGCCUCGCUGCGUAAGCGGCGCGGUUAGUUCGAUUUAAGUCCUGAUUCCGUCGCUGGAGUUAGGCGGGGUUUUGGCGGGCGCCUGGCAACAGAAGCCCGCCGCU
RNAcentral lists this transfer-messenger RNA (348 nucleotides) under Hyphomicrobiales bacterium. It matches the Rfam family "Alphaproteobacteria transfer-messenger RNA". Rfam says of the family: Bacterial tmRNA, also known as 10Sa RNA or SsrA, is named for its dual tRNA and mRNA-like properties. Its role is to liberate the mRNA from a stalled ribosome. The record is from RNAcentral. Lineage: Bacteria; Pseudomonadati; Pseudomonadota; Alphaproteobacteria; Hyphomicrobiales.